UACGAAGGGGGCUAGCGUUGCUCGGAAUCACUGGGCGUAAAGCGCACGUAGGCGGCUUUUUAAGUCAGGGGUGAAAUCCUGGAGCUCAACUCCAGAACUGCCUUCGAUACUGGGAGUCUCGAGUUCGGGAGAGGUGAGUGGAACUGCGAGUGUAGAGGUGAAAUUCGUAGAUAUUCGCAAGAACACCAGUGGCGAAGGCGGCUCACUGGACUGGUACUGACGCUGAUGCGCGAAAGCGUGGGGAGCAAACAGG
RNAcentral lists this ribosomal RNA (253 nucleotides) under uncultured bacterium. Its description in RNAcentral is "partial 16S ribosomal RNA". It matches the Rfam family "Bacterial small subunit ribosomal RNA", at positions 524 to 776 of the family's 1533-position model. The record is from RNAcentral.